ACUAGAUGGUGGAGAAAGCCUGUGUGAAUUAUUUUUAAUGAAUAAGUGUGAUGAUGGGUGGCAUACAGUCACUGCCUUAAGAUUUUCAAAGAGAAGCAGCCUUUUGGAGGUGGUGGGCCUGGGCAGGUCUUUCAAGGAGUGGGAUGUGAUGGGCAGUAGAAAGGUAUUCCAGGGAGGGGUAGCAACAUGAGAAGGUCUUUCAAGGAUUGGGAUGUGAUGGGCAGUAGAAAGGUAUUCCAGGGAGGGGUAGCAGCAUGAGAAGGUCUUUGAGUCUGGGAUGAGCAAGAGUGUCUAGUCCCACCAGGGAGACAGAUGUGUAGGCAAGUAAUGACAGCAUGGAGGGAUGGCUGCUGGGGUGAUCCUUGGCUCCCAGCACGGCGAGGUGGACAUCUAUGGGAGGGGCCCUGAGAGGUCUCUUGAGCUGUCUUUCUGCCAGUUGCACAUCUGCUCAGUUGCCUGUUAAGACUCUUAAGACAGUUUUGCUGGACUCUUAAGUUUUUAUUUUGAUAUUCUUUGGGAGCAUUGAGAUUCCUUUUUGAGAUGAGUUUGGUAUGAAAGAAACUGGCAACUCAUACCUGAUUGAUUAACUGGGGGCAUUCCCAUUGACAUCAGCUUGAAGAAAGACGACAGAACACUGGAGACCAAGUACUUACAGCCUUCUGCUCUGUGGCCCCUCCUCACUCCAGGGAUGCUGCCUUGGGUCUGGAAACUGUUAGAGGAAACCCCAAGAGGUGCAGGCACUGAGCCUCUCAGGACAAUGACCUGGGGUCCCAGCUCCCCUGGAGGGGCCUCCUCAUGAUUGUUUGGGGGUUGAUCACAGACCAAGAGUGACGAGUGAUGUCACCCUGUGACUCAUGGCUGGACCUUCUUGCCCCUAUUGUCUCAGCACAACAUUAUUCGACUUUUCCCUCAGCGUGGGUGGGCAGAGGAAAAGCCCUGUGGCUCUGGGGACUUGGGAUCCAGAGUUGAAGACCCUUCAGCUGGCUCUGCCCUGCCAGUGCCACAGAGUGCCAUGGCCCAGGAAGACAGGUUUUCUUCCAUCUAGGCCAGGCCAUCCAGUGGCCAUCCUCCGUGUCCUCCCGCCUCCUCCUGGUGUGACUUCUGAAAACCAAGAAUUUGUUCCUGUUGACUUUUUCUGUGCUAUGGACCAUUGUCCUCUCACCCACUCAAUAAAUCUUGAAACAUG
RNAcentral lists this long non-coding RNA (1186 nucleotides) under Homo sapiens (human). RNAcentral describes it as "non-protein coding SNHG11:24". The record is from RNAcentral. Lineage: Eukaryota; Metazoa; Chordata; Mammalia; Primates; Hominidae.